CUGGCUCAGAUUGAACGCUGGCGGCGUGCUUAACACAUGCAAGUCGCGCGUGAAAGGACUUCGGUCCGAGUAAAGCGGCGCACGGGUGAGUAACGCGUGGAUGAUCUACCCAUGAGUUGGGAAUAACGGUUGGAAACGAUCGCUAAUACCCGGUACGUUCCGAUUUCAACUUCGGGAGAAAGGGGGCCUCUGCUUGCAAGCUUCUGCUCAUGGAUGAGUCCGCGUCCCAUUAGCUAGUUGGUGAGGUAACGGCUCACCAAGGCAUCGAUGGGUAGCCGGUCUGAGAGGAUGACCGGCCACACUGGGACUGGAACACGGCCCAGACUCCUACGGGAGGCAGCAGUGGGGAAUAUUGCGCAAUGGGCGAAAGCCUGACGCAGCGACGCCGCGUGAGGGAUGAAGGUCUUCGGAUCGUAAACCUCUGUCAAGAGGGAAGAAACGUCAGGGUGCUAAUCAGCCCUGAUCUGACGGUACCUCUAAAGGAAGCACCGGCUAACUCCGUGCCAGCCGCGGC
RNAcentral lists this ribosomal RNA (514 nucleotides) under uncultured bacterium. RNAcentral describes it as "bacterial SSU rRNA". It matches the Rfam family "Bacterial small subunit ribosomal RNA", at positions 19 to 518 of the family's 1533-position model. The record is from RNAcentral.